AGCUCCAAUAGCGUAUAUUAAAGUUGUUGCAGUUAAAAAGCUCGUAGUUGGAUUUCUGGUUGGAGCAAUCGGUCGGCCCCGCAAGGGGUCUGUACUAGCGUUGUCUCGGGCCAUCCUUGUGGGAACUGUGCGGCCGUUAACUCGGUUGUAUGUGGGAACACAUCGUUUACUGUGAAAAAUUAGAGUGUUUAAAGCAGGCUUAGGCCGUUGAAUACAUUAGCAUGGAAUAAUAAGAUAAGACUUGGGUCAUUAUUUUGUUGGUUUGCGGACUCAGGUAAUGAUUAAUAGGGAUAGUUGGGGGUAUUCAUAUUUAAUUGUCAGAGGUGAAAUUCUUGGAUUUUUGCAAGACGAACUACUGCGAAAGCAUUUGCCAAGGAUGUUUUUA
Molecule: ribosomal RNA, 385 nt
Filed under: uncultured eukaryote
Lineage: Eukaryota
Description: SSU rRNA
Rfam family: Eukaryotic small subunit ribosomal RNA
Source: RNAcentral